RNAcentral lists this transfer RNA (72 nucleotides) under Camelus bactrianus (Bactrian camel). It matches the Rfam family "tRNA". Rfam says of the family: Transfer RNA (tRNA) molecules are approximately 80 nucleotides in length. Their secondary structure includes four short double-helical elements and three loops (D, anti-codon, and T loops). The record is from Rfam by way of RNAcentral. Lineage: Eukaryota; Metazoa; Chordata; Mammalia; Artiodactyla; Camelidae. RNAcentral also lists the same sequence under 2 other names.
GAGGGUAUAGCUCAGUAGUACAGUGAAUGCUUAGCAUGCAGGAGGUCCUGGGUUCAAUCCCCAGUACCUUCA